GCUGUGGAACUCCUACGGGAGGCAGCAGCGGGGAAUCUUGCGCAAUGGGCGAAAGCCUGACGCAGCCAUGCCGCGUGAAUGAUGAAGGUCUUAGGAUUGUAAAGUUCUUUCACCGGGGACGAUAAUGACGGUACCCGGAGAAGAAGCCCCGGCUAACUUCGUGCCAGCAGCCGCGGUAAUACGAAGGGGGCUAGCGUUGCUCGGAAUUACUGGGCGUAAAGGGCGCGUAGGCGGAUCGUUAAGUCAGAGGUGAAAUCCCAGGGCUCAACCCUGGAACUGCCUUUGAUACUGGCGUUCUUGAGUAUGAGGGAGGUAGGUGGAACUCCGAGUGUAGAGGUGAAAUUCGUAGAUAUUCGGAAGAACACCAGUGGCGAAGGCGACAUACUGGCUCAUUACUGACGCUGAGGCGCGAAAGCGUGGGGAGCAAACAGGAUUAGAUACCCCAGUAGUCCUACCACGU
Molecule: ribosomal RNA, 460 nt
Filed under: uncultured bacterium
Lineage: Bacteria
Description: bacterial SSU rRNA
Rfam family: Bacterial small subunit ribosomal RNA
Source: RNAcentral